RNAcentral lists this ribosomal RNA (301 nucleotides) under uncultured bacterium. Its description in RNAcentral is "partial 16S ribosomal RNA". It matches the Rfam family "Bacterial small subunit ribosomal RNA", at positions 509 to 807 of the family's 1533-position model. The record is from RNAcentral.
CAGUAGCCGCGGGAACACGAAGGGGGCUAGCGUUGUUCGGAAUUACUGGGCGUAAAGCGCACGUAGGCGGAUAUUUAAGUCAGGGGUGAAAUCCCAGAGCUCAACUCCGGAACUGCCUUUGAUACUGGGUAUCUUGAGUAUGGAAGAGGUGAGUGGAAUUCCGAGUGUAGAGGUGAAAUUCGUAGAUAUUCGGAGGAACACCAGUGGCGAAGGCGGCUCACUGGUCCAUUACUGACGCUGAGGUGCGAAAGCGUGGGGAGCAAACAGGAUUAGAUACCCCCGUAGUCCCUGUCUCUUAUAC